This 2173-nucleotide long non-coding RNA is filed under the name Numida meleagris (helmeted guineafowl). RNAcentral's name for it is "lncRNA (ENSNMEG00000010511.1)". Lineage: Eukaryota; Metazoa; Chordata; Aves; Galliformes; Numididae. The record is from RNAcentral.
GCUUUCUUGGUGGAUUUUUGUGGUGCAAAGCAGAUGGCUGUGCUCCUGCCAUCUUUUCAGAAAAGAAUACAUUAAGGGUAGUGCCCCACUGGCUCUUUGAUAAGACGGGUCUGAAAUCAUCAAAGGCUGUGCCUCUUCUUUCCAUCAAAAAGUACAAGAAGGGCCUAUAGAGACCACUGUCUAUGGAAGAUGAUAACAGUAAUUAGCCUUUAUGAUAGAUAAAUCUUCAUCCUCUGAUGAUCAAAGACAGCUAAAAUUAUCAAAUUAUAUGUGGCAGUUUUGUAAUAUGAAUAAAAUGAAGCAACUUUAUAAUCUCUAUGAUCUUGCUACAUAGAGCAUUAACUCUGUUGUAAGUGCACUUAACAUUAGUUUGGUUGCCUGUUUCAAACACAGUAUUUUUUGUUAAAAAUACUUCUCUAUUUAAUCAGUUAUUCUUCAUACAAUGGAAUGAUUUGAUAAAGUACAUGAGAAAAGGGAUCAGCAGUAGGGGAAUAGGAAAAUUUCAUUGUCUUUCCCCAUUUCUCUUUCCUUCCUUUUGUUUUGAUGUGUGUUUUUCUGCUACUUCCCCCUUGCAUGUCUGCUACAGUCUUCUUAGGAGCAGCCUCUCUGGGUAUCGAGCAGGAGGUGGGACUCCUUGACCUCUCUCAAAAUCAGUUUUAUCUGGAGAAGAGGAGCCAAUCAUCCAGCAAAACUGAUGUAGAAGAUGGCUUUCCAUGAAUGUACAAAUACUUCUGUGAUGUUUGUGACCUCAUCUUCACCAGCUUCUUUUUGAAUCAUAGUCCUUAGCAUAUUUCUCUCUCUCAUGGACAAGACAAGGACCACAUCAAAGUCAACUCAAAAACAGCAGCAACACAGUGAUUAAGCACUGAACUAGCAUGAGUUUGUGGUUUGGUAUUGCUACCAUCUGUCUUUGCCUUUCUGACACAGAGCUCCAAGUUUUCUGCUGAGGAAGGUCUUUGGAUGUUGUUUCCCUAUAUGGAUAUAUGUCGAUGCAAUUUGUUGAGCUGUCUUGUCUUCAUGUCUUUCUUACCAUUGGGAUAAUAGUAAUUAAGUAAUUGCACAAGUAGGCUGGAGUGUGAUGCCCUCUAAUGCUACAUUUGCCCAAAUGAACAUGAGGGCCUUAAAUGAAGACUUAUUCCUGCAUUCCUGAUCAUUCUCAGUGGAGGAAAAAAAAGAAAAUGAAAAAAUAUAGCUACACUUGGAUUUUGGGACAUGUUCUGCAAUGGUGAAUAAUAGAUUUGAUCAUUUUAAUGAGGCCAUCAUAUAGCUAUUAUUGUCUGUCAUGUCUAAGCCAGGAAAUGUAAGCAUCCUGAGAUAUUUGAUUGUGGAGAACUUAUGAUCCAAUUAAUUGAAUAUGAACUAUUAAUGAAUUGCAGCAUUCAGAGAGUGCAUGGUAAACAUAACCUAGGAGUGAACUGGGUUGAAUGUUCUAGGUUGAAUGUUUCUUUGUGGUUAUGACUGAGAGUAAAUCAUUUAAAAGAAGCAGUCAUUUAUAGAAUCAUAUUGAGGUCGGAAAAGACCUCUGAGAUCAUCCAGUCCAACCAUCCACCUACCACCAAUAUUUCCCUGCUAGAUCAUGUCCCUUGGUACAACAUCUAAACAUUUCUUGAACACCUCCAGAAAGGAUGACUCAACCUCCCUGGGCAGCUCGUUCCAGUGACUAACUGCUCUUUUGAGAAGAAAUUUUUCGUAAAAUCAAACCUGAAUCUCCCGUGGUGCAACUUGACAGCAUUCCCUCUAGUCCUAUCACUAGUAAUGUGGGAGAAGAGGUUGGCCCCCACCUCAUCACAACCUCCUCUCAGGUAGUUGUAGAGAGCUAUACAUGAUAUGCUAUGCAUUUUUCAUCAGUGACCUAGUGACACAUCAAGUAUCAGCAUAAUAGUCCAGAAAAAGCCGCCUCUUUCCAUUGCUAGACUGUCUGUCUGAGCCAACAACCUCAUUUUUGAUGCUCUUUGUUGUAGCCAGCUGUUUAAUGUUGAGAUUUUUCCAUUCUAAACUUACUCUUGGACUACAGCAUUCAGCCAGCAUGAAAACACACAGGAGGUUCUUCUCCAGAAAGUAAAUAAUAGAAUAGCUUCCCUUGGAAGCACAGUAGCUGUCUGGAUAGGUAGUAAAUGCAGAAAGCAAUCUCAAGUCAAAGGUUCAAAUAAAAUGAAUCUUACUCCAGUUUACA